GCCGCCAUCUCCCCACCUCCCCAAUUCUUCAACCUCCAGAUCUAUUCCAAUCUCCGCCGGCAGCAGCGCACCCCGUGCACCCCUCAUCCCGCCAUCCCGCGCGAAAGAAGCCACACCCACAUGCCCUGCUCUCAGGCGCGAGCUCCUAUCUCCGCUGGCGACUUCCCAUUCUCCUCCGUCGGCAACUUCGCCAGUUGGAUACCGCCGGCGUCCGUCCUCGCCGUCGCCAAGCCGCGCUCCUCCUGGCGUCGUCCGCACCAUCACCAAGCAUCCACGCCAGUGUCAUCCUCCACCAGGAGCUCUGCCGCAUUUUCCGUGGCUACACCGUCCGCAAGCAGCGGUCGGCUCCAUCCAAUAUCUUCAGGCCUCCACCUCGUCAAGUAGGUAAAAAAACAAUCUAAGCCAGCCCCUCCGAACACAGACACAAAACAUUGCUAGUCCAACACAACCAUGAAAUAUUGGUACUGUACAUCUCUUACAAUGUCAUGAUAGUCUAAAAGGUUAUGUUCAUCUAAACUUUUCUUUGUUAUCUACCUUUUUCAGGUUAGAGGAUUCAGAAAAGGAGUGCAUUGCACGAGCCAGGAGCAACUACAGAUGAAUAAUCUUCAAAUGAACAAAUAUUAUAGAUGAUGUAUAGAUUUUAGCUUCAAAGGAGUACUUAGUUCUACUUUGUAGGGUUUUCGUAAUUAUUUGUAUCUUCCGUAUGAAUAUCUCAUUUGUGAGCUCCACACUUUCAGUAGAGGUAUUUGUUCCUAUUAAUUUAUCCACUUUAUGUUAA
Molecule: long non-coding RNA, 778 nt
Organism: Triticum aestivum (bread wheat)
Lineage: Eukaryota; Viridiplantae; Streptophyta; Magnoliopsida; Poales; Poaceae
Exons: 2
Source: RefSeq, a predicted model, not a curated record